GCGGGUGUAGUUUAGUGGUAAAAUACAAGCUUCCCAAGCUUGAGUCGCGAGUCCGAUUCUCGUCACCCGCUUCA
Molecule: transfer RNA, 74 nt
Filed under: Lactiplantibacillus koreensis
Lineage: Bacteria; Bacillati; Bacillota; Bacilli; Lactobacillales; Lactobacillaceae
Description: Lactobacillus sp. CBA3605 tRNA-Gly
Rfam family: tRNA
About the family: Transfer RNA (tRNA) molecules are approximately 80 nucleotides in length. Their secondary structure includes four short double-helical elements and three loops (D, anti-codon, and T loops).
Source: RNAcentral